This 28-nucleotide non-coding RNA is filed under the name Bombyx mori (domestic silkworm). Lineage: Eukaryota; Metazoa; Arthropoda; Insecta; Lepidoptera; Bombycidae. The record is from RNAcentral.
UACCCAAGUUUGGCAGCCAUACAGUAGA